Molecule: long non-coding RNA, 493 nt
Organism: Rhinichthys klamathensis goyatoka
Lineage: Eukaryota; Metazoa; Chordata; Actinopteri; Cypriniformes; Leuciscidae
Exons: 3
Source: RefSeq, a predicted model, not a curated record
AAAAAAACGAAGGAGUGUUAAAGCUGAAGAUCACAGAGUGAAAGAGCCUCUUUCUGAACCGGAUUCAGCCAAUGACGCUCCGUAUGCCAGUGUGAAACCCAGAAGAUUCAGAGGAAAAACUCCUGAAUCCAGAGACACUGAGGAGAUCCAGUACGCAACUGUCCAACAUCACAGAAAGAUAGAGACGAAGAGAGCAGAGGAGAAUGAAAGUCAAUAUGAUGAUAUAAGAGUUUAUCAGCCGGAUGCUGCAGUGAGGCGAUCAUCUGUUCAGAUUGUGGAAGAUGCAUCAGUGAUCUACAGCAGCGUCAAAUGAGUGAUAGAAGCCUGUGUUCAGAUAUUAAUCUAGACUAUAAAAUGGAUUAUUGGAUAGUUGUGGAAUAAUUUACCCAUCUCGAACCACAACCAACAAACAGGUUCAUCACACACAUUAAGAUGCAUUAGUUUUAUUUUACUCUUUGUGAGAGAAUGGCAGUCAUUGUGGUCUUGACUGAUG